GCUGAGUGAUGAGUCCAAGGCGAAUGUGACUCCUUGAUCCUCUGGAUAUGACCUCUGCUUACUGCCUUUGGUCUGUAAUCUUGGUGGUUGUGCAGAAGUUUCUCGCUGCCGCUGUAAGGCCAGAGCUACAUUAGCAUUUGUUGCAGGUCUUUGUCAGCCCUAAUCUGCUUGCAAGAGUGUCUUGCGGAUUCUGAGAGGACCAACAGGAGGAAGCAGUGUGAUCUAAAUGGUGGUGAGCAGAGGUCAUUACUCAAAAGAGGGAAUAAGGGACAUGAGCACUUUUCUUUGGUAAUCUGACAGCA
Hyla sarda is the source of this 302-nucleotide small nucleolar RNA. The record is from RefSeq and is a predicted model, not a curated record. Lineage: Eukaryota; Metazoa; Chordata; Amphibia; Anura; Hylidae.